This 73-nucleotide transfer RNA is filed under the name Myotis davidii. It matches the Rfam family "tRNA". Rfam says of the family: Transfer RNA (tRNA) molecules are approximately 80 nucleotides in length. Their secondary structure includes four short double-helical elements and three loops (D, anti-codon, and T loops). Lineage: Eukaryota; Metazoa; Chordata; Mammalia; Chiroptera; Vespertilionidae. The record is from Rfam by way of RNAcentral.
ACCAGUUUGGCUCAGUGGAUAGAGCGUUCACCUGCAGACUGAAAGGUCCCAGGUUCGAUUCCGGCCAAGGGUA